AAAGGGGUAUGCCUUUAAUUUUCUUUCCUUGACCAUUUCUAUUUAACUUGAAUUGGCAGAUUACACCACUCUCAUAAAAUUAGUGAAGAGUGUGCCCCAUUUUCUGGUCUCUGGAGGAGUUACUGUGAGAGUAAAAUUAACUGUUCUUUACAUGCUAUAACUCUCCUGUGAAAUUCUCUGAGCUGGUUUUUGUUUUAGCUUUUCUUUUUUUGGUUGAGGAGGGGGAGGUUUAACCUACUGAUUCAAGAUGAGAAGAUAAGAUUCAGAUUUUCCUUUUCUCCUUAAUUCUGUGUGAGCAUGUUCAUUUUUCUUGAUGAUUUGCUGUUUUCAUGAAACCUUUUGCAAUAGUGUCCUAAAUGCCCCUCUGCUUCUGCUCUGAACCCUACAAUCAAUUCUUAAUACAGAGCUGGAGUGUUUACUUAAAACAUGUAAAAGAUGAUGCCACUACUUUUGCCCCAGAAUCUCUCAUGGUUUCUCACAGUAUUUAUAGUAAGUAAAUUGGCCUGGGAAAUGGCCCCUUCUGGAAUCCAUGUAUUGUUUGGCUAACCUCCUUCUAAUCACUCCCUUGGCUGAUUCUGCAGCAAUCAUCCUGGCCUCCUUUCUGUUCAAUAAAAACUCCAAGAUGCUCCUCCUUCAGGUUACCUGCCCUUCUGGUGCUUCUGCCUAGAAGAUUUCUCUCCCAGGUAAACAUGGUAAUUGCUUUCUCGUGUCCUUUAAGUCUAGUCUCAGAUGACCCACCCUCUGAGAAACCUUCCUGACUAUCCUCUUUAUUCAAACUUAGUUUUCCAUUUCCAAUUUCUCUCCUUCUCCAAUCUGCAUUUUACUUAUCAUCCUUAAUGACAGUAAGCAAACAUGUAUCUGUAUCUGUUUGUCUGUUUGCAAAUUCUGGAGCAUAACUUCCAUAAUGACAGACAUUAUUGUCUGUUUGGUUCACUAGUAUAUUCCUAAAGUGUCCGUAACAUAAUAGACAUACUCAGUAAAUAUUUACUGAAUAAGUAUCAUGUUAGGAUUAUCCCAGGAAUUCAAGGUUGUCUCAGUGGUUACAACAAUCCAUAAAUGUAAUUCAUUAUAUUAACCAAUUAAAGGAGCUAAAUCAUAUAAUUACCACAAUAAAAUCAGAAAUGGCGUAAAAAUGUUUGAUGAAACAAUUAAACAUCAUCCACAUUAAAAGAAAUCUUAUCAAAUCAGGACAGGAUACAUCAUAUUUAUGUACCAAACACUAAAAUUGAUAGCAAUACCAAUUUUUCCAAAAUUUACCUGACAUUUAACUGAAUUAAUUACUUUCCUGUCAAAAUCUUAGCAUAAUUCUUCUUAAAACUCAACAAAAUAAUUCGAAAAUGUACACAGAAUACAAAAGAGCCAAAUGGUCAAGUUACUUCCAAAGACGAAAAAGGAAGUAGUGGGAAUUUUAAAACAAGUUUGGAGACUUAUUUUAAGGCUGCAGUAAUAAAUCCAUGUAGCAUAAGAUAUGAAAAGAGAUAAACCAAUGGAAUAAAAUAGAGAAAAAAAACUGUUUCAGUGGAUUUUGAUAACUGAUAGAGAUGUCACUGCAAGUUGCUAAGUGGAUGACAUAAUUUAGUCAAUGACAUUAGGGCAAUUGCUGCAUUUUAUAUAUAUAUAUAUAUACGUAUACACACACACACACAUAUAUAUAACAGUUUUAUAUACAUAUACACACACACACACACACUUUAUGCGUUCAUCAGUUAGUGGGCACUUAGGUUGCUUCCGUAUCUCAGCAAGUGUAAAUAAUGUUACUAUGAACAUUGUGGGGGGGUACAUUGAGUUUUCAUUUUCUUCAGAUAAAUAUUCAAGAGUGGAAUUGGUAGAUGGUAUGGUAGCUCUAUGGUUAACUAUUUUGAGGAAACUCUACACUGUUUUCCACAGUAGUUACACCUCCAUCAACAGUACACAGGGAUCCCUUUUCUAUGAUCCCUCGCCAGUACCUAUUUCUUGUCUUUUCGCCAUAGCCAUCAUGACAGACAUGAGGUGAUACCUCAUUGUGGUUUUAAUGUGUAUUUCCCUGGUGAUUAGUGAUUUUGAGCAUCUUUUUCAUAUGCCUGUUGGCCAUCUGUAUGUCUUCUCUGCUGUUGGGUAUCUGUAUGUCUUCUCUGGAAAAAUGCCUAUUCAGGUCCUUGGCCCAUUUUUUAAUUGAGUUGUGUGCUUUACUGACAUUGAAUUGUAUGAUUUUUUUGUAUAUUUUGGAUAUUAACCCCAUAUUAGACGUAUCUUUUGUAAAUAUCUUCCAUUAGUAGGUUGCAUUUUCAUUUCAUUGAUGGUUUCCUUCACUGUGUAAAAUCUUUUAGUUUGGUUAUGUCCCGUUUAUUUAUUUUUGCAUUUGCUUCCCUUUCACAUCAAAAAAAAAAAAAAAAAAAAAAAGGUAUUGCUAAGCCUAUUGUCAAAGAAUGUACUUCCAGGAGUUCCCUUCAUGGCACAGUGGAAACAAAUCUGACUAGAAUCCAUGAGGAUGAGGGUUCAAUCCCUGGACUCACUUAGUGGGUCAGGGAUCCAGCAUUCCUGUGAACAAACGUGGCUCAGAUCCCACUGUUGCUGUGGCUAUGGCAUAGGCCAGCAGCUGUAGCUCCAAUUCGACCCCUAGCCUGGGAGCUUCCAUAUACCACAGGUGCAGCCCAGAAAAGCAAACAAAAAAGAACGCAUUUCCAUGUUUUCUUCUAGGAGGUUUAUGUUUUGGGACUUACAUUUAAGUCUCUAAUCCAUUUUAGUUUAUUUUCAUACAUGGCAUGAGAAAAUGGUCUAGUUUAAUUAUUUUACAGUUUCCCAACACCACUUAUGGAAGAGGCUAUCUUUUCCCCAAACUGUAUUCUGGCCUUGUCAUAAAUUAAUUGACCAUAUGUGCUAGGGUUUAUUUCUGAACUCACUAUUCUGUUCCUUGUUCUCUGUGUUUGUGCCAUUGUUAUGCCAUUGUGAUUGCUACAACUUUGUCGUAUAGUUGAAAUCAGGGAGCCUGAUACAUCCAGCUUUGUUUUUUCUCAAGAUUAUUUUGGCUAUUCAGAAUUAUUUGUGCUUCCAUACAAAUUUUAGGAUUACUCACUCUAGUUCUGUGAAACAAUGCCACUGCUGUUUUGACAGGGAAGGAUUGCAUUAAAUCUAUACAUUGCUUUGGGUGGUACAGAUGUUUUAACAACUUUAAUCUUCCAAUCUAUGAAGACAAAAUAUCUUUACAAUUAUGUGUGUUACCUUCAAUUUUCUUUCAUCAAUGUCAUAUGUUCAGAGUAUAGGUCUUCACCCCCUUGGAUAAAUUUAUACCUAAGUAUUUAAUUCUUAUUAAUGUGAUUAUAAACAGAAUUAUUUUCUUGAUUUCUCUUCCCGAUAAUUCAUUAUCAGUACAUGGAAAUACAAUAGAUUUGUGUAUAUUAUUCUUAUAUCCUGCAACUUUACUGAAUUCAUUUACUUAGUUUUUUGGCGGAGUAUUUAGGUUUUCUGUACAUAGUGUCAUGCCAUAUGCAAAUAGUGAGAGUUUUAUUUCUUCCCUUCAAAUCUGGAUAUAUUUCACGUCUUUUUCUUGUCAAUUGCUAUGGAUCAGAUGUCCAAAACCAUGUUGAAUCAAAGCAGUGAGAGUGGGUAUCCUUGGUUGUUCCUGAUCUUACAGGACAUGCUUCCAGCUUUUGACCUUUGAGUAUGAUGUUGGCUGUAGGUUUGUCAUAUGUUUCCUUAAUUGCGUUGAGGUACAUUAUCCCUACACCACUUGAUUGAAAGUUUUUAUCACAAACGGGUGUUAAAUUUUGUCAAAAGCUUUUUCUAUGGGGUUCUCUUGCCAUGCAGCAGGUUAAGGAUCCAUCAUUGUUACUGCAA
This 3813-nucleotide long non-coding RNA is filed under the name Sus scrofa (pig). RNAcentral describes it as "lncRNA (ENSSSCG00000060329.1)". Lineage: Eukaryota; Metazoa; Chordata; Mammalia; Artiodactyla; Suidae. The record is from RNAcentral.